This 253-nucleotide ribosomal RNA is filed under the name uncultured bacterium. RNAcentral describes it as "partial 16S ribosomal RNA". It matches the Rfam family "Bacterial small subunit ribosomal RNA", at positions 524 to 776 of the family's 1533-position model. The record is from RNAcentral.
UACGUAGGGGGCAAGCGUUGUCCGGAUUUAUUGGGCGUAAAGAGCGUGUAGGCGGCCAGACAGGUCCACUGUGAAAACUCGAGGCUCAACCUCGAGAGGUCGGUGGAAACCGUCUGGCUAGAGUCCGGAAGAGGAGAAUGGAAUUCCCGGUGUAGCGGUGAAAUGCGCAGAUAUCGGGAAGAACACCCGUGGCGAAGGCGGUUCUCUGGGACGGUACUGACGCUGAGACGCGAAAGCGUGGGGAGCGAACAGG